This 595-nucleotide ribosomal RNA is filed under the name uncultured Arcobacter sp. Its description in RNAcentral is "bacterial SSU rRNA". It matches the Rfam family "Bacterial small subunit ribosomal RNA", at positions 148 to 763 of the family's 1533-position model. The record is from RNAcentral. Lineage: Bacteria; Pseudomonadati; Campylobacterota; Epsilonproteobacteria; Campylobacterales; Arcobacteraceae.
AUUUGGAAACGAAUGCUAACACCCCAUAUGCCUUUAAGACAAAAGUCUGCAAGGGAAAUAUUUAUAGCUCUAGGAUCGGCCUGUACGGUAUCAGUUUGUUGGUGAGGUAAUGGCUCACCAAGACUAUGACGCCUAACUGGUUUGAGAGGAUGAUCAGUCACACUGGAACUGAGACACGGUCCAGACUCCUACGGGAGGCAGCAGUGGGGAAUAUUGCACAAUGGGGGAAACCCUGAUGCAGCAACGCCGCGUGGAGGAUGACACAUUUCGGUGCGUAAACUCCUUUUAUAUAGGAAGAUAAUGACGGUACUAUAUGAAUAAGCACCGGCUAACUCCGUGCCAGCAGCCGCGGUAAUACGGAGGGUGCAAGCGUUACUCGGAAUCACUGGGCGUAAAGAGCGUGUAGGCGGAUAGUUAAGUUUGAAGUGAAAUCCAAUGGCUCAACCAUUGAACUGCUUUGAAAACUGAUUAUCUAGAAUAUGGGAGAGGUAGAUGGAAUUUCUGGUGUAGGGGUAAAAUCCGUAGAGAUCAGAAGGAAUACCGAUUGCGAAGGCGAUCUACUGGAACAUUAUUGACGCUGAGACGCGAAAGCGUG